Molecule: long non-coding RNA, 4529 nt
Organism: Sycon ciliatum
Lineage: Eukaryota; Metazoa; Porifera; Calcarea; Leucosolenida; Sycettidae
Exons: 2
Source: RefSeq, a predicted model, not a curated record
UAAACAGCUUGAAAAUGAUGACGUCAGAAGUCAAUAUGUAACAACGUAUGGGCCAGACUGGAUAUGACCUGACCAUAGUCAACAGCAUGUGGUGGGUAGCCCCCCUCAUCUCUCAUACUUGUGUAGCGUAUAGCGUAUCCCCGUACGUUAGCAUAUCCCCGUACGUUACUGUAUUCCCGUACGUUAGCGUAUCCCCGUACUGUAUCCCCAUACGUUAGCGUAUCCCCGUACAUUAGCGUACGGAGUCUGCCUUUGCAUAAAAGCUGCUGCUCACGAUUCUUUUAUAGCCAGUUAGUUAAUUUAGUUGCCAGUCAGUUAAUUUCGCUUCCAGUACAUUUCAAUUGCCAGUUACAGUGUGUUCACUGAGACCCUUGUAUUUUUGCCUCCGAGAGACUGCGGCCCGCUACAAAUUGGUGACAGCGGUAAAUUCAUUUUGUUUCAUUCUAUACCUAACUUUGUUACUUUACACGUUUCUCCGAUUCAAUGGCUCAACCGAAUGUACCUGCCGUGGUACCCGUCGUUGCACCCGCUGCAGCCCCAGCUCCGCCCGGUCCUGCCCAACCACCGAGAGCUGCGUACCAUGUGCAGCCCGAAAAAUACAAAGGUCGCCUGGGGGACAACUUCGCGUCCUGGCUGAUGCAUUUCGACCAGGUCGCCGCGGUAAACAACUGGACCCCAGUUCAGCAGACGCAGUUCCUGGGCCUCGCACUGGAAGGCGAGGCCCAGCUGUAUUACCAAUCGCUUCCAGCGGCCACCAGGAACGGAGGCCACCAACAGCUAGUCCAGGCGCUGCAAGCUCGGUUUGAUCCAGCGCAGCGCGUCGACCUCCAUCGCGCAACGUUUCAAGCUCGUCGCCAGGCCAAAGACGAACAACUGGGUACUUUCUGUGAGGCGGUUCGCUCCCUGGCCCGGCAAGCUUACCCCCAGAUGGCCGCGGGGGACCUCGACAACCUAACAAAAGACCAGUUUAUCUCCGGGCUUGACUCGCGGGGCAUGCGGGUCCGCGUUCAGGAGCUAAACCCGCAAACGACAGACGGGGCCCUCCAGGCCGCGCUCCAUCACCAGGCAAUCCUAGCUGCCGAACUGCCCGCCGCGGAACCUGUGCCGAUCCCUGCCUUUGCUGUUUCCCAGCCACUCGACACGGUGACAGACCAACUAAAAGCUGUGUUAGACCGUCUGGCUACGUUGGAGGCCAGUCUGCCAGGACCAAUUCGUCGGUCCCGACCUGACCAACUACCACAGCCUCCGCAGACGCAAGGCCGCACACCUGUCACUUGCUGGUCAUGUGGCCGACAAGGUCACAUCAGCCGAGAAUGCCGUGCCCGUCGUCCUGCGCAGGCGGGAAACUACCGGCGGCAGUACUAAGUACCUCGGACGCUAGCCCUGCCGCAUCCUGCUCUUCCGGGACCUACGUAAGCACUGUGUUGAUAUGCCUUGCUGUCUUGCUCCUUGCCCACCCUGUUACGCUCACGAUUUUAACUGUUUUGCUCACUGUGCUGUACCGCCACCGCCUCCCUGAUGUACGUGCUUUUCUCCCCGACCUCUCCCCAUUACACUUUUUUUCGUCGAGUUUGUCCCGACGCGACCAUGCAUGCCGCCUACCUGUAAUACCCGUGACUGUGAACGCAGUCGAUUCCAAUGCUUUGUUAGACAGUGGGUCUUCCAAGUCAAUUGUGAGCAAGAAGCUGUGGGAUUCUCUGAGUAAUCGCCCAUCCCUGUCCCCUCCACCCCCCUCACGCAUCCUUUCUGUGGAUGGCUCGUCCGUGGCGAUUUUAGGUCAAGCUGAGUUGCACAUUUCUGUUUCGCCCACCACCCCGCCUGUCCUGCAUGAGUUCUUAGUUGCCUCCAUCCAUCCCGAGGUCAUUCUAGGGGUUGAAUUUUUGCAUGCCCAAGCGUGUUCGCUUGAUUUCGCCGCUUCCAACAUGUCCAUUGCUGGUCACGUUAUUCCCCUGCAUUCCCCCACUGUGAUCCCGUCACCUGUCCAUGCCGCUUCGCUCUCCGCUACUCCCGUUUUAUGCACGCUUCCCGCUGCUGUGACCGUCCCUGCCAUGUCUCAUUACAUUUGCUCCGCAAAAGUUGCUUCCUGCCAUUAUUCUGAUAGCCCCCUGCUGUUUGAGCCUUGUGAGUCUACCUGCAGUACUCACCACAUUGUCGGCCUCGCUACUCUGGCUACCGUCACUGAUAACAUGGUGCCCGUCCGUCUGAUCAACCCCAACGAGCAGUGAGGUCCAGAGAUUGGAGCAUUCCAGUGCAUCCGGCGGGGAUGAACACAACCUUGAUGUUGUGUGCACCAAGCUUUUCCAGGACUAAUGCACAGCGGUGGGCCUUGAAUACAUCCCACAAGAACAAUCCUGGGGCAUCAGUUGGCAGACCCAACUCCUCCCUCUGCUUGGCCAUGAAUGGAGAUAGCACUUUCUCAAUAAACUCCAACAUCGUCUUUUCCGUGGACCAGUGGCUGUCGGAGGACAUUUCUAGACGGGUGACAGCGGUUGGUGUUGCCAGCGUAAAUCACUUGCGGCGGCAGCAGCUGACCACUCAGACUAACACCCAGUAGGAUGGUGACCUCCCGCUUGUCGUCUAAGCCAGCUACGUCGAUCUGCCAGCUCCCUUCAUAGUCCAGCUGCUGACAGGCACCAUCUUCGUACCUGUCUGGUCCGUGUUGACAACCAUGCUGGGCGUGGUGUGCGUUUCCACUGGUUGCUUUGACCUUCUGCAGGAAGUCGCUCUUGAUUGUUGCGAAGUCGGAAGGCACUUUCCUGGCGGUCCGAGUCCCUUUCCGUUUCACGUAUCCAAUUGGAGCAAGAAACGAUGGUGCCCAUGUUUUCUGAAGCGUCACGCUACCACCAAACUCCUUCAGCAAAGACACAUUCUUGUGCUGGACGAUGCCACCAGCUGCAGCCAGAACAGCGUUAGUGUUCACAGGAGUGGCAGCACAUCUAAGGCUGAAAACAAGCUUCUGAACGAGAUCAUCCAGUUCCUUCGGUAGAAGGAGCGGAUCACCUCGCGGACUGGCCGGCUUCGCGUCCACUUCGGCCAGCGUUUUCCCAGUAUCCAUCUGCUGUUUCGGAUUCCGCUUGAAAUUUCGGACGGUCGCUUCAUGGACUGGAUGUCUAAGCUCGCGAGUAAACGUCUGCACGGCGCUCUUGUUUCCGUACAGCAACGCUUGCUUGCCGGUUUUAGUUCGCACCUCGUUAUCGUAGGAAUGAGUCUUUGUCCUUUUCCGCUUCGAUCCAUCCUCGUCGUGAUCCGCAGCGUCCACUACUUCAGACACAGCUCUCUUACCUACAGCUAGUGCCCGCUGGUCGUCUUCGUCCCCCUCCUGUCGAGGAGUACAUACAAAUCGAUCAAUUUAGCCUGUCCAAUAGUGGUCAGUGACCCUUCAAGGGCCAGUAGCAACGAGGUUACGUCCUGAAAUUUGGGGUAGACCACCGCCAUAGUCUGCUACAAUAUGUCCCCAAGCAGAAAAAUUCAAAUUUCGAACUCUCCUAAGGCGAUGCCGUAGCAGAAUCCAACCUCUGGCAGGAAGGCACACACGGAGCGCCGUCAUAUGCCUUUUCGCUAAGGGGCGGGUUCCACUGCGGCUCUGCUGCUCCGCGGCACUUGGCUGCAUGCAGCGGAGCAGCGCGGUUCCACUGACACUCGCCAUUCGCGGUACCGCGUUCGUGCUCCACGUUUUACCUGCCUGCGCGUGCGAAAUCAAAAAAAGCCUCGUGUUCUGGCCUGCGCAACGAACGAGAGAGCUUGGAAGCUCAGGGCCCUAUGCUAUGCUUUUUUGCCUUGAUGACCUAGACAAAAAAAGCAUAGGGAUGUUAUAAAUUCUUAUAAGUUUCUACUUUUUGUUUUUAGACAUAACCUGGGAUUCGAACCCGCACUAUCGCCCUGCAUGCAUCCCCCGAUACACUUCGCAUACAUACUAAUUCUUCCAAGUUGCUUCACGUUAUGAUCUUGUAUUUGAAAGCCCUAUUUGAAUAUGCAUUGUGGCCAGCCAUCUUUGAUUGUACGGUACGGUACGGGAUAGGUACGGGACAGGUACGGGACAGGUACGGUCGAGGGUAAUACGACACCGUCUACCGCCUUGAUGACGGCAAAAAAAGAAAAGGGAUGUUAUAAAUUUUUCAAUUCUCCUAUUUUUUCAGGCAUUACCUGGGAUUCGAACCCGCACUAUCGCCCUACAUGCAUUCCCCCAUACACUUCGCAUUCAUACUCAUUCUUCCAAGUUGCUUCACGUUAUGAUCUUGCGUUUGAAAGCCCUAUUUGAAUAUUGCGGCCAGCUGUAUGUGGCCAGCUGUGUUUGAUGGUACGGUACGGUACGGGACAGAUACGGGAUAGCGCCAGGCGUGACACAAACACGCAAACACACAAACAAACAAACAAACACCAAACGAGAGAGCUUGGAAGCUCAGGGCCCUGCGCUAUGCUUUGUUGCCUAGCUCAUCGUGCAUGUUGUUAGAACUGAUGGAAAUGCUUUUUCCUUUGAUUAGCUAAAUCAUUGUUUUGCAAAAACGUUUCAAUGAGAUACUGAAGUACAA